CCGGGACCGGGAGGGGCAGCGGCGCCCUGUUCCCACGGAAGGGCAGAGCAGAAGACAGAAGAGAAGCCUUCAGGCAGGCAGGCAGCCAUGGUUGCGGAUGCGGUAAGGGCGACCAUCAGCUUUCCGCGCUGCAAAUGGUGUCCGCGACUAAAAUACAAGCCGCGCUCGCUCCCUGUACCUGUAGCAUUGGGCGUGGGCAUCGCCGCAUCAGCAUCUCCGGGGAAGCAAAAGGAGCCUUCCAAAGCUGCAGAGAACUGUAGAUGGAACGCGAGAUGCUCUGCAGCUAACCACAUGAGGAUUGCAACACUUUUGUCACCACUUGAUCAUCAUGGUGGGGCAGAACAAGGCGGGACACGCCAAUCAGACGCCACCAGUCCAGCGUUGCUGCUGAAGCUGAACAAUAGGUUAACUACACUUGACGGUAGUAAAAAAAAUUGGGGUACGUAGGGACCUGGACUAGCCACCUCUGAUUUUUAUCACUGCAGCUGUAAUAGACAACUGCUAUGCUUCUCUUCUGUGUGACCGUGAGGUUUCGUUGUCAGCAGUAAUAGAGAUUAGAUGCUGCUUGUGUUCCCGUUACAUUCGUUUGCUUCCUGCCCUUUUUCCCUGGGGAAUUUUGGUACAGCACACAACACAAGCAACUAUAAAAAUCUAGCAAGGUCAACAACUACCGCUGGAAUUCACACACGGCCGGG
Molecule: unclassified non-coding RNA, 695 nt
Filed under: Zea mays
Lineage: Eukaryota; Viridiplantae; Streptophyta; Magnoliopsida; Poales; Poaceae
Description: misc RNA Zm00001eb391200
Source: RNAcentral